This 489-nucleotide ribosomal RNA is filed under the name uncultured bacterium. RNAcentral describes it as "bacterial SSU rRNA". It matches the Rfam family "Bacterial small subunit ribosomal RNA", at positions 28 to 507 of the family's 1533-position model. The record is from RNAcentral.
GAUGAACGCUAGCUACAGGCUUAACACAUGCAAGUCGCGGGGCAGCAUGAAUUUAGCUUGCUAAAUUUGAUGGCGACCGGCGCACGGGUGAGUAACGCGUAUCCAACCUUCCCCUGUCCACGGGAUAGCCCGUCGAAAGGCGGAUUAAUACCGUAUGAGGUCACACGAUGGCAUCAGACUGUGACGAAAGGUUUUGCGGACAGGGAUGGGGAUGCGUCCGAUUAGGUAGUCGGCGGGGUAACGGCCCACCGAGCCGACGAUCGGUAGGGGUUCUGAGAGGAAGGUCCCCCACAUUGGAACUGAGACACGGUCCAAACUCCUACGGGAGGCAGCAGUGAGGAAUAUUGGUCAAUGGACGCAAGUCUGAACCAGCCAAGUAGCGUGCAGGAUGACGGCCCUAUGGGUUGUAAACUGCUUUUAUGCGGGGAUAAAGUGAGGGACGUGUCCCUUUUGUAGGUACCGCAUGAAUAAGGACCGGCUAAUUCCGUG